CAAAUGACUCUCGGCAACAGAUAUCUCGGCUCUCGUUAUGAUGAAAAACGUAGCAAAAUGCGAUACUUAGUGUGAAUUGCAGAAUCCCAUGAAUCACUCAGUCUUUGAAUGCAAUUUGCGCCCGAGACCUCAGUCGAGGGCAUGUUUGUUUGGGUGUCGCAU
This 162-nucleotide ribosomal RNA is filed under the name Abies beshanzuensis. Its description in RNAcentral is "5.8S ribosomal RNA". It matches the Rfam family "5.8S ribosomal RNA". Rfam says of the family: 5.8S ribosomal RNA (5.8S rRNA) is a component of the large subunit of the eukaryotic ribosome. The record is from RNAcentral. Lineage: Eukaryota; Viridiplantae; Streptophyta; Pinopsida; Pinales; Pinaceae.